This 468-nucleotide ribosomal RNA is filed under the name uncultured bacterium. Its description in RNAcentral is "partial 16S ribosomal RNA". It matches the Rfam family "Bacterial small subunit ribosomal RNA", at positions 28 to 507 of the family's 1533-position model. The record is from RNAcentral.
GACGAACGCUGGCGGCGUGCUUAACACAUGCAAGUCGAACGGAAAGGCCCUGCUUUUGUGGGGUGCUCGAGUGGCGAACGGGUGAGUAACACGUGAGUAACCUGCCCUUGACUUUGGGAUAACUUCAGGAAACUGGGGCUAAUACCGGAUAGGAGCUCCUGCUGCAUGGUGGGGGUUGGAAAGUUUCGGCGGUUGGGGUUGGACUCGCGGCUUAUCAGCUUGUUGGUGGGGUAGUGGCUUACCAAGGCUUUGACGGGUAGCCGGCCUGGGAGGGUGACCGGCGACAAUGGGACUGAGAUACGGACCAGACUCCUACGGGAGGCAGCAGGGGGGAAUAUUGCGCAACGGGCGGAAGCCUGAUGCAGCAACGCCGCGUGCGGGAUGACGGCCUUCGGGUUGUAAACCGCUUUCGACGGAGACGAAGCGUGAGUGACGGUAAUGGGUAAAGAAGCACCGGCUAACUACGUG